AUUGAACGCUGGCGGCAGGCUUAACACAUGCAAGUCGAGCGCGCGGCGGCCGGGUGAGUAAUGUCUGGGAAACUGCCUGAUGGAGGGGGAUAACUACUGGAAACGGUAUCUAAUCCCGCAUACCAUCAGAUGUGCCGAGAUGGGAUUAGCUAGGAGGGGGGGUAAUGGCUCACCUAGGCGACGAUCCCUAGCUGGUCUGAGAGGAUGACCAGCCACACUGGAACGGAGACACGGUCCAGACUCCUACGGGAGGCAGCAGUGGGGAAUAUUGCACAAUGGGCGCAAGCCUGAUGCAGCCAUGCCGCGUGUGUGAAGAAGGCCUUCGGGUUGUAAAGCACUUUCAGCGAGGAGGCGUUACCCGCAGAAGAAGCACCGGCUAACUCCGUGCCAGCAGCCGCGGUAAUAC
This 406-nucleotide ribosomal RNA is filed under the name uncultured bacterium. RNAcentral's name for it is "partial 16S ribosomal RNA". It matches the Rfam family "Bacterial small subunit ribosomal RNA", at positions 30 to 526 of the family's 1533-position model. The record is from RNAcentral.